UGUGCUGGUAUUUUUCUUUUCCUUCCACCUUCUCCCCAUUUUCCCUUUUUGUGCUUUUGGCUUUUGUGUGAUUAAUCAAUGUCAUUUAGGUAAUAUUGGUGAAUAAUCAUUGUGAUUUUAUCUGUUAUUUCAUAUCUUACAAGGAAUUUUUCUGCUGCUUGAGUUACAUGCUUGUUUGUCUGACAUAGCCAAAAGGCAAAAGUGGCUUAUCCUUCUCACAGGAUUUGGCAAAAUAAAAUUUCCUCUAUAAGUUCAUUUCUGG
This 262-nucleotide unclassified non-coding RNA is filed under the name Hevea brasiliensis (rubber tree). The record is from RNAcentral. Lineage: Eukaryota; Viridiplantae; Streptophyta; Magnoliopsida; Malpighiales; Euphorbiaceae.